This 374-nucleotide long non-coding RNA is filed under the name Cyclopterus lumpus (lumpfish). RNAcentral describes it as "lncRNA (ENSCLMG00005008853.1)". Lineage: Eukaryota; Metazoa; Chordata; Actinopteri; Perciformes; Cyclopteridae. The record is from RNAcentral.
CACACACGCACACACACACACUUUCUAGUCUGUCUUUUGUGUGUUCUAGGAGAUACUAGCGUGUCUGUUGGAGGUCCCUGGUGUGUUGUGCACCAAUGAGCUGCAUAUUGAAUCUUUGUUCAAAGGCAAGGCCAGAAGUCUCCAGGGUUUCUGGUCAGAGCUGCAGUGGAACACAGAGAGGACAACAUAUCUGGAUGCUGUUCCCAACCCCAGAUACAGAACCUCACACAUACAAGCUGAGUGGGAGAAACUGAAGUCCGAGAGGAGACCAUCCAGCCACAGGAAUAACUUGGAGGAGAACACAAAGAAGUAGGUGUGCCAUCCACCGGAGCGUUGUUAAAGAAAGCACAUCACCACAGACACAGAGAGCCUCU